UACAGAGGGUGCGAGCGUUAAUCGGAAUUACUGGGCGUAAAGCGCGCGUAGGCGGUUUUGUAAGUCGGGUGUGAAAUCCCCAAGCUUAACUUGGGAACUGCAUUCGAGACUGCAUAGCUAGAGUAUGGGAGAGGGAAGUGGAAUUUCAGGUGUAGCGGUGAAAUGCGUAGAUAUCUGGAGGAACACCGAUGGCGAAGGCAGGUCUCUGGGCCACUACUGACGCUGAGAAGCGAAAGCAUGGGGAGCGAACAGG
RNAcentral lists this ribosomal RNA (253 nucleotides) under uncultured bacterium. Its description in RNAcentral is "partial 16S ribosomal RNA". It matches the Rfam family "Bacterial small subunit ribosomal RNA", at positions 524 to 776 of the family's 1533-position model. The record is from RNAcentral.